Molecule: ribosomal RNA, 663 nt
Filed under: uncultured organism
Description: bacterial SSU rRNA
Rfam family: Bacterial small subunit ribosomal RNA
Source: RNAcentral
GGCUUAGAGUUUGAUCAUGGCUCAGGAUGAACGCUGGCGGCGUGCUUAACACAUGCAAGUCGAACGGAGAACCCUUGACGGAGUUUUCGGACAACGGAUAGGAAUUCUUAGUGGCGGACGGGUGAGUAACGCGUGAGGAACCUGCCUUGGAGAGGGGAAUAACACAGAGAAAUUUGUGCUAAUACCGCAUAAUGCAGUUGGGUCGCAUGGCUCUGACUGCCAAAGAUUUUAUCGCUCUGAGAUGGCCUCGCGUCUGAUUAGCUAGUUGGUGGGGCAACGGCCCACCAAGGCGACGAUCAGUAGCCGGACUGAGAGGUUGACCGGCCACAUUGGGACUGAGACACGGCCCAGACUCCUACGGGAGGCAGCAGUGGGGAAUAUUGGGCAAUGGGCGCAAGCCUGACCCAGCAACGCCGCGUGAAGGAAGAAGGCUUUCGGGUUGUAAACUUCUUUUAUUAAGGACGAAGCAAUGACGGUACUUAAUGAAUAAGCUCCGGCUAACUACGUGCCAGCAGCCGCGGUAAUACGUAGGGAGCAAGCGUUAUCCGGAUCUACUGGGUGUAAAGGGCGUGUAGGCGGGAGUGCAAGUCAGAUGUGAAAACUAUGGGCUCAACCCAUAGCCUGCAUUUGAAACUGUACUUCUUGAGUACUGGAGAGGCAGGC